GGUCAAGCUAGAAAGGGCGCGUGGUGGAUGCCUUGGCAUCGGGAGGCGAAGAAGGACGUGGACAGCUGCGAAAAGCUCCGGGGAGUCGCUAACAGACAGUGAUCCGGAGAUCUCCGAAUGGGGAAACCCGCGCAGGGGACUACCUGCCAACCCAUGGUGAAUACAUAGCCAUGCGGUAGCCAAGCCAGGGAACUGAAACAUCUAAGUACCUGGACGAAAGAAAAUCAAACGAGACUCCCCUAGUAGUGGCGAGCGAACGGGGAACAGCCUAAACCUAUCAGUGUAAGCGGCUGGCGUUGCUGAGUAGGGGUUGUGGGAUCUUGCAGGGAGAAUGGCACUUCUCCCGACGAGUUACAAAGAGUCGAGCUAGUAGAACGGCAUGGAAAGGCCGGCCAUAGAGGGUGACAGCCCCGUAUGCGAAAGCGAGACUCCCCGUGCAGGACACCCGAGUACCGCAGGACACGAGCAAUCCGGCGGGAAUCUGGGAGGACCAUCUUCCAAGGCUAAGUACUCCUGAUCGACCGAUAGUGAACUAGUACCGCGAGGGAAAGGUGAAAAGAACCUCGGUUAGAGGAGUGAAAUAGUACCUGAAACCGUGUGCCUACAAGCAGUGGGAGCACUAUGGCCGCAAGGCAAUGUGUGACCACGUACCUUUUGCAUAAUGGGCCUGCGAGUUACGCUACGUGGCGAGGUUAAGCCGCAAGGUGGAGCCGAAGCGAAAGCGAGUCCUAACAGGGCGACGAGUCGCGUGGCGUAGACCCGAAACCUUAGCGAUCUAUCCAUGUCCAGGUUGAAGAGCGGGUAACACCGCUUGGAGGACCGAACUCACCACAGUUGAAAAUGUGGGGGAUGAGGUGUGGAUAGGAGUGAAAGGCUAAUCAAACUCGGUGAUAGCUGGUUUUCUCCGAAAUAUAUUUAGGUAUAGCCUCGCGAGUUGACUGACGGAGGUAGAGCACUGUUUGGGCUAGGGGUCCCACCGGAUUACCAAACCCAACCAAACUCCGAAUGCCGGCGACAACUAUCCGGGAGUCAGGCUGCGGGAGAUAAGUUCCGUAGCCGAGAGGGAAAGAGCCCAGAUCGACAGCUAAGGUCCCCAAAUCCAUGCUAAGUGGCAAAGGAUGUGGGAACGCUCUGACAGCCAGGAGGUUGGCUUAGAAGCAGCCAUCCUUUAAAGAAAGCGUAAUAGCUCACUGGUCAAGCGAGCCUGCGCCGAAAAUAUAACGGGGCUAAGUCUGGUACCGAAGCUUCGGGUUCUCGUAAGAGAGCGGUAGGGGAGUAUUCUCGAGGAGAUACACGGCGGACGGUGACGACCGAUAACGGCCUGAGAAGAGCUUAUGCAGGCAUGAGUAGCGAUAACGUAGAAUGGAUUGCCAGGACCCGGUAGGGACAAACGGCAGUCCGCGUAUUCGAGAGGUGAUGAGGUCGGAGCUUGCUCCGGAUACUCGGUAAUCCCAGGCUUCCAAGAAAAGCCGCGUACAGAGCCCCUUUGGUGUCCGUACCGCAAACCGACUCAGGUGGGCGGGGUGAGUAUCCCAAGGCGCGUGAGAGAACCCUGGUUAAGGAACUCGGCAAAAUGACACCGUAACUUCGGGAGAAGGUGUGCCGGUCUGCGUGAAUGGACUUGCUCCAAGAGCGUGGUUGGGUUGCAGUGAAAUGGGGGUUGCGACUGUUUACUAAAAACACAGGACUCUGCGAAGUCGUAAGACGACGUAUAGGGUCUGACGCCUGCCCGGUGCUGGAAGGUUAAGGGGAGUUGUCAGCGCAAGCGAAGCGACGAACCGAAGCCCCAGUAAACGGCGGCCGUAACUAUAACGGUCCUAAGGUAGCGAAAUUCCUUGUCGGGUAAGUUCCGACCUGCACGAAUGGCAUAACAACAUCCCCGCUGUCUCGACCAGGGACUCAGCGAAAUUGUAUUGGGGGUGAAGAUACCCUCUACCCGCGGCAAGACGGAAAGACCCCAUGAACCUUUACUGCAACUUGGCAGUGAUUUUCGGGACAAUCUGCGUAGGAUAGGUGGGAGGCUUUGAAGUCGGGGUUCCGGCCUCGAUGGAGCCAACGUUGAAAUACCACCCUGAUUGUUCUGGACUUCUAACCCAGGCCCCUGAUCUGGGUCAGGGACACUGCCUGGUGGGCAGUUUGACUGGGGCGGUCGCCUCCCAAAAAGUAACGGAGGCGUGCGAAGGUUCCCUCAGCCUGAUUGGAAACCAGGCGUAGAGUGCAAACGCACAAGGGAGCUUAACUGUGAGACCGACAGGUCGAACAGGUGCGAAAGCAGGCGUUAGUGAUCCGGUGGUUCUGCAUGGAAGGGCCAUCGCUCAUCGGAUAAAAGGUACUCUGGGGAUAACAGGCUGAUCGCGCCUGAGAGUUCACAUCGGCGGCGCGGUUUGGCACCUCGAUGUCGGCCCAUCGCAUCCUGGGGCUGGAGCAGGUCCCAAGGGUUCGGCUGUUCGCCGAUUAAAGCGGUACGCGAGCUGGGUUUAGAACGUCGUGAGACAGUUCGGUCCCUAUCUGCUGUGGGCGGAGGAUACUUGAGAGGAGCUAAUCAUAGUACGAGAGGACCUGAUUGGACGCACCUCUGGUGCUCCGGUUGUCCUGCCAAGGGCAUAGCCGGGUAGCCAUGUGCGGAACGGAUAACCGCUGAAAGCAUCUAAGCGGGAAGCCGGCCUCAAGACUAGGUGUCCCGAGUCGCAAGACUCCUAAAGACCCCUCGUAGACCACGAGGUUGAUAGGCCGGGUGUGGAAGCCGAGCAAUCGGAGGAGCUAACCGGUACUAAUAGGUCGUGCGGCUUGACCAU
This 2795-nucleotide ribosomal RNA is filed under the name Polyangiaceae bacterium. Its description in RNAcentral is "23S ribosomal RNA". It matches the Rfam family "Bacterial large subunit ribosomal RNA". Lineage: Bacteria; Pseudomonadati; Myxococcota; Polyangiales; Polyangiaceae. The record is from RNAcentral.